CCUACGGGCGGCAGCAGUGGGGAAUAUUGCACAAUGGGGGAAACCCUGAUGCAGCGACGCCGCGUGAGGGAAGAAGUAUCUCGGUAUGUAAAGCGCUAUCAGCAGGGAAGAAAAUGACGGUAACUGACUAAGAAGCCUCGGCUAACUACGUGCCAGCAGCCGCGGGAAUACGUAGGGGGCAAGCGUUAUUCGGAUUUACUGGGGGUAAAGGGAGCGCAGGCGGCAAGGCAAGCCUGAUGUGAAAGCCCGCGGCCCAACCGCGGGACUGCAUUGGAAACUACCGGGCUGGAGUGCCGGAGAGGUAGGCGGAAUUCCUAGUGUAGCGGUGAAAUGCGUAGAUAUUAGGAGGAACACCAGUGGCGAAGGCGGCCUACUGGACGGUGACUGACGCUGAGGCUCGAAAGCGUGGGGAGCAAACAGGAUUAGAUACCCCUGUAGUC
This 440-nucleotide ribosomal RNA is filed under the name uncultured bacterium. RNAcentral describes it as "partial 16S ribosomal RNA". It matches the Rfam family "Bacterial small subunit ribosomal RNA", at positions 338 to 795 of the family's 1533-position model. The record is from RNAcentral.